AUAGACUUUCUGAUUAUAUGCAUCUGUUUUAUCCCAUAUGAAAGUAUAGGCCAAGUUUGGUGAGGCAGGAAACCACUUUUGGAAGAGUCUUCCUACUACAGCUACCAUAAGAUGAACCUUCAUUAAAUUAAAUGGAAUAAUAGACUGGGUCAUGGUGAUCUUGAGAACUGACUUAUACCCUGCAGCUCUGGAACUCAAGUAGGAGAGUUUCAAAUCUGUUCCUGGAAUUG
This 230-nucleotide long non-coding RNA is filed under the name Homo sapiens (human). Its description in RNAcentral is "HSALNT0081616". The record is from RNAcentral. Lineage: Eukaryota; Metazoa; Chordata; Mammalia; Primates; Hominidae.